Molecule: transfer RNA, 73 nt
Filed under: Bos taurus (domestic cattle)
Lineage: Eukaryota; Metazoa; Chordata; Mammalia; Artiodactyla; Bovidae
Also listed under: 5 other names
Rfam family: tRNA
About the family: Transfer RNA (tRNA) molecules are approximately 80 nucleotides in length. Their secondary structure includes four short double-helical elements and three loops (D, anti-codon, and T loops).
Source: Rfam by way of RNAcentral
UCCCUGAUGGUCCAGUGGUUAGGACUCCCUACUUCCGCUGCAGGGGGCGCCAGUUCAAUUCUUGGUCAGGGAA